AACAAUUCUCUACAAGACUGAACCAGACAGUAAAUUGCUUGCUGAGCCAGAAGGGAAGAAAAGGGAGAGAAAAAGGAUUUGCUGACCUUGAAGAGAGAAAUACUUGAGGUUUAUAUGACAAAGAUUAUAGAGAUUUUUUUAUACAUUGGCUAGCUGCAGUUUCAGUCCAAGAUACGUAGCACAAUUUAAUGCUCGCAAGUUGCAGAGUACUUUGAUAUCCA
Long non-coding RNA from Rhodamnia argentea, 221 nucleotides. RefSeq lists it as uncharacterized. Lineage: Eukaryota; Viridiplantae; Streptophyta; Magnoliopsida; Myrtales; Myrtaceae. The record is from RefSeq and is a predicted model, not a curated record. The transcript is spliced from 3 exons.